AUUCCUACGGGAGGCAGCAGUGAGGAAUAUUGGACAAUGGACGAAAGUCUGAUCCAGCUAUGCCGCGUGCAGGAUGACAGCCCUACGGGUUGUAAACUGCUUUUAUACAGGAAGAAAAACCCCGACGUGUCGGGGCUUGACGGUACUGUAAGAAUAAGGAUCGGCUAACUCCGUGCCAGCAGCCGCGGUAAUACGGAGGAUCCAAGCGUUAUCCGGAAUUAUUGGGUUUAAAGGGUCCGCAGGCGGUUUUUUAAGUCAGAGGUGAAAUCCUACAGCUCAACUGUAGAAUUGCCUUUGAAACUGAAAGACUUGAGUUAUUGUGAAGUGGUUAGAAUGUGUGGUGUAGCGGUGAAAUGCAUAGAUAUCACACAGAAUACCAAUUGCGAAGGCAGAUCACUAACAAUUAACUGACGCUCAGGGACGAAAGCGUGGGUAGCGAACAGGAUUAGAUACCCUGGUAGUCCACGCCGUAAACGAUGGAUACUAGCUGUAUGUCUACCUCAGGUAGAUGUGUGGCCAAGCGAAAGUGAUAAGUAUCCCACCUGGGGAGUACGAUCGCAAGAUUGAAACUCAAAUGAAUUGACGGAAU
Molecule: ribosomal RNA, 589 nt
Filed under: uncultured bacterium
Lineage: Bacteria
Description: bacterial SSU rRNA
Rfam family: Bacterial small subunit ribosomal RNA
Source: RNAcentral